Molecule: ribosomal RNA, 332 nt
Filed under: uncultured bacterium
Lineage: Bacteria
Description: bacterial SSU rRNA
Rfam family: Bacterial small subunit ribosomal RNA
Source: RNAcentral
CGCGUAGGCGGCCCGAUAAGUCCGCUGUAAAAGUCAACGGCUCAACUGUUGAAAGCCGGUGGAUACUGUCGGGCUAGAGUACGGAAGAGGCAAGUGGAAUUCCUGGUGUAGCGGUGGAAUGCGCAGAUAUCAGGAGGAACACCUAUAGCGAAGGCAGCUUGCUGGGACGUUACUGACGCUAAGGCGCGAAAGCGUGGGGAGCGAACAGGAUUAGAUACCCUGGUAGUCCACGCCGUAAACGAUGAGAACUAGGUGUGGGAGGUGUCGACUCCUCCCGUGCCGUCGCUAACGCAUUAAGUUCUCCGCCUGGGGAGUACGGCCGCAAGGCUAAA